RNAcentral lists this ribosomal RNA (434 nucleotides) under uncultured bacterium. RNAcentral's name for it is "partial 16S ribosomal RNA". It matches the Rfam family "Bacterial small subunit ribosomal RNA", at positions 29 to 507 of the family's 1533-position model. The record is from RNAcentral.
AGCGAACGCUGGCGGCAGGCCUAACACAUGCAAGUCGAACGAACCUUUCGGGGUUAGUGGCGGACGGGUGAGUAACACGUGGGAACGUGCCUUUAGGUUCGGAAUAACUCAGGGAAACUUGUGCUAAUACCGAAUGUGCCCUUCGGGGGAAAGAUUAAUCGCCUUUAGAGCGGCCCGCGUCUGAUUAGCUAGUUAGUUGAGGUAAUGGCUCACCAAGGCGACGAUCAGUAGCUGGUCUGAGAGGAUGAUCAGCCACAUUGGGACUGAGACACGGCCCAAACUCCUACGGGAGGCAGCAGUGGGGAAUCUUGCGCAAUGGGCGAAAGCCUGACGCAGCCAUGCCGCGUGAAUGAUGAAGGUCUUAGGAUUGUAAAAUUCUUUCACCGGGGACGAUAAUGACGGUACCCGGAGAAGAAGCCCCGGCUAACUUCGUG